This 253-nucleotide ribosomal RNA is filed under the name uncultured bacterium. Its description in RNAcentral is "partial 16S ribosomal RNA". It matches the Rfam family "Bacterial small subunit ribosomal RNA", at positions 524 to 776 of the family's 1533-position model. The record is from RNAcentral.
UACGUAGGGGGCGAGCGUUGUCCGGAAUCAUUGGGCGUAAAGCGCGUGUAGGCGGUUCGGUAAGUCUGCUGUGAAAGUCCAGGGCUCAACCCUGGGAUGCCGGUGGAUACUGUCGGACUAGAGUACGGAAGAGGCGAGUGGAAUUCCCGGUGUAGCGGUGAAAUGCGCAGAUAUCGGGAGGAACACCAAUUGCGAAGGCAGCUCGCUGGGACGUUACUGACGCUGAGACGCGAAAGCGUGGGGAGCAAACAGG